AGCAGCCGCGGUAAUUCCAGCUCCAAUAGCGUAUAUUAAAGUUGUUGCAGUUAAAAAGCUCGUAGUUGAAUUUCGGGGUUAGUAGGUUGGUCAUGCCUCUGGUAUGUACUGGUCUCACUGAUUCCUCCUUCCUGAUGAGCCGUAAUGCCAUUAAUUUGGUGUUGCGGGGAAUUUGGACUGUUACUUUGAAAAAAUUAGAGUGUUUAAAGCAAGCUAACGCUUGAAUACAUUAGCAUGGAAUAAUGAAAUAGGACGUUCGAUCCUAUUUUGUUGGUUUCUAGGAUUGACGUAAUGAUUAAUAGGGAUAGUUGGGGGCAUUAGUGUUCAAUUGUCAGAGGUGAAAAUUCUUGGAUUUAUUGAAGACUAACUACUGCGAAAGCAUUUGCCAAGGAUGUUUUCAUUAAUCAAGAACGAAAGUUAGGGGAUCGAAGACGAUCAGAUACCGUCCUUAUCUUAAACCAUAAACUAUGCCGACUAGGGAUCGGAUGAUGUUAAUUUUUUAAUGACUCAUUCGGCGCCUUACG
This 524-nucleotide ribosomal RNA is filed under the name uncultured Glomus. RNAcentral's name for it is "SSU rRNA". It matches the Rfam family "Eukaryotic small subunit ribosomal RNA", at positions 569 to 1092 of the family's 1831-position model. Lineage: Eukaryota; Fungi; Glomeromycota; Glomeromycetes; Glomerales; Glomeraceae. The record is from RNAcentral.